Long non-coding RNA from Mauremys mutica (yellowpond turtle), 5059 nucleotides. RefSeq lists it as uncharacterized. Lineage: Eukaryota; Metazoa; Chordata; Testudines; Geoemydidae. The transcript has 5 exons. The record is from RefSeq and is a predicted model, not a curated record.
AUGAGCCCCACCUGAGAGGGAAUAGGAAAUUCCCCAGAAAGAGCCCAGGCUUAAGAGGUGAUAAAGUGCAGCUGGGGAAAGAGCCAGUGUGAGAAAUAGGCAGGAAGCUCAGAACAGUAAGGGAAGUUUUGCAGUUUGGGACAGCUGGAUCCCAGAAGAGAUGGACUAAAGAUGGUGACCCAGCUUGAAAGACUGAAUUACCAGGCAAAGAAACUGCCACUGUGCUGGAUCAUCUAUCUGUGAGAGAUCUGCGAUGCCAAGCCUGGCCACAAUGGGGCACCUAGUGGUUGUCAGUGUACAGGAGGACUGCUGAAUCCACGUGGAACCCCAUUGGCUUAAAUGAAUCUCUGCAGGCACAGCAACCCAUCCACGGACUGACAUGUUCAGUAUCGGGUCCUUAAACUCUAAUGCCACCACAUGAGGAAUGGGUCUGCCCCUUUGGGAUCCAUGGGAGGUCCGAGGACCCACCAGGUAUUUUGCUGCGGCCCUUCUGUGUUUAUUCGGACUAUGCAUUGCCUCCACGGCUCCUCCCCUCCAGCCUUGCACCACACUGUGGCUCGACCCCCAUCUGUGCCUCCACCAUGGAAAGCCUUUGGAGGUGCAACAAAGGUUCUGCCCAAAAUUGAGGAUCCUCACAAAGAGAGAGAUCAAGGCCCUCACAAUGGUCACCCGAAUCUUCCCCUGUGAGGCUUGCCAUCUGGACCAAAUGCACAGCCAAUUGACGUUUUAACUGUUUAAUUUUCUUUUCAGGGCGAGCACACUGCUGUUGCAGCGUAUGUUGAGGACAAAUGGUUAAAUCUUUGACAAGUCCUUGAAGGACCAGUACUUGCUUAGCCAGUACUUCCAGGAGGGUGUGUUUUGCUUUUUCUGCCUGCAAGUCCUGUCUUAAGGCCUGCAACUUGUCCUGGGCAUAGGCUUGGGUUGCUGCCUCAGUUGCUCAAUUUCCACCAGGUGUCGAGUACACACCUCGUCCCUUCUCCCCAACUCCUCUUUCUGUCCCGACAACAUAUGAUACCAUGUGGCUUCUGCAGUCGAAAUUAAUCCCCCAGCUGCCCCUAGGUUUUUGCCUUUCAGCUUUUCAUACUCGGCAUACAGGUCUAACAAAUCCUGCCAAGUCUGCACUUUCUUCCGAAGCUCCACCACUGAACCCCAGGGAUUGUAUCCCAUCUUGGUGAGAGCCCUCUCCAGCUGGGAGAGGUUCCAUCCCUUUUUGCUGCCUCCCCCAUGGCUCGGGCAUCAGGUCCACCUGCCUCCCGCGAUGCCAGCUGACCGGCAGCCAGACUACUGUGUCCGCACUCCCUAAUGCCCGUACGUCCGGCCUUGAACCCGUCAUUGAUGUCAUCACCCACGACUGCAGGACUCCCGAGUCCACAGCUGUACCCUUCUGUUUCCUGAACAUGCUGUCACAAUCCCUUAGUACAACUCUGAAGGUCUUUUAAUUACUUGAGAUUUUACGUUGCCCACACUGGCACCGGGGCUUACAAUGCUCAACCGCCCUUUGCAGAGCUGGAGGGAAGACGCUAAGUCUCCCUCUGUAUUACUCUGUCCGAUCCCGCUGAGGGUAUAUACACCACAACCCUUUCCAGGCAGACCAAGACAGCCUAUGUUACGACUGAGGGUGUAUGUACCAAGGAUACUUGUCACAUGGAGCGAGGGUCUUUAAGCCCACCUCCUAUUGCCCAGUACUUUUACGACUGGGGGUAGACCCACCUGCACCCUUCCCCUGCCAACUGGGGUGGAGAGAGGAAUACUAAACCUCCCUCCAGUUCUCUGUCAUGCUACGACUGAGGGUGGGGCUCACCUUUAAUUAUAAAAUUCCCAACAUGCAAUACCAACAGUGCUAGACAAAGCAAACAUGAAAUACCAAAGCAAGGCAGUUGCGCUCUGCAGGGCUCUCCCCACUCCGCAGUUCUCCACCAAAACUGUGACAGAUUUCUGUUACCAGUCUGCCUGAGGUGUCAGGUGAUCAGGCUGAGGCCACAGCAUCUUUUGGGGAGGAGAUGACAAAACACACCAAGUGUCUAAGUUUUACAGCUUUAUUAAUAAAUAAAUAAUAAUUUCUCAUCUGGUGCCGUGUCCUUGGACUGGGGCCAGCAUAGUGUCUUAUUAUCGGACUGAGCUAGCUAGCUACAGUGUUGAGUUAACUCAUUCUCUGCUUUCUUCCUUCUUCCCCCAUUGGUCUCUCGUGACCUGCAAAGGAAUCUUCCAUUCCACACUCACUUACACCUUUGACCCUCCCCUGAAAUGCCUUGUGAUGCUUGCAACCCCGUUAGCAACAUACAGUGCUUAUCUGCCUCCCCAUGGGACUCCCUGAGGGAGGGAGUCCUUGGGCCUGUGACAAUAGGAUGCUAGUCACCUCAAUGUUGGGAUGAUGUUGGCAAUCAUAGUGUGUACUAAUGGGUCUUUGCAUGACUCCAUAGACCAAUCUGGGAAGAGCAACAGUUUACCAUACUGGCCACAGAGUCAUCUGCCUAGUUGUGCUGAUUGAGCGGCACAUGUCUGGAGCUGCACUUCUAGCUGCUUGAUGCAAUCAUGGACCACCCACCUGUACAAUGUGGUGUCAUACAAUACAAUCAAUUGCCACUUGCUCAAAGGUAGAGUCAGAAAUGUUCAUUUUGUGCAGAUUUUGCUUGAGGAAUUUCAUCUGCCCUCCAUGCUUAUGAUUGCCAGAGCUUGAUUUGGUAUAUACCUUGUUUUGACAAACAGGUCCCAGGUAUGCAAAUUACAUGGCCAGUCCAUCACAACUAGGCACUAAUCAAAUGAGCCUGGAUGCUGACCAAACCAGCUUUCACCAGGACUUCUGUGUUAGAAACAUGCUUCUGCCAUUUGAUGUCCAGAAAUCAUUAUAGGUGUCACAAAUGGAAACUGACAAGCUUUUUAAUGUGCCAGUGAUAACAGGUCCAUGUUUUGCACCCAUAGAGCAAUGUCAUGAGGACAACAGCAUUAUAGACUUUGAUUUUUGUCUGUAGACCGAUUCCCUUUGUUUCCCUAUUUCUGAUAGAGGUGACCAUGUGUGGUGCUGGCUUUUUUAAUUCACACAUCCUCUUUGCGGUUGAUUGGUCAUUUCUUGCUCAACAUGUUGCCAAGAUAAGUAAACUGGUUUGAUGGCUUGGAGUAGGAUACCUUCCAAGCUUAUUGAGGGAUCCUGAUAAGGUGGUUGAGGAGCUGGCUCAUAUGUAACUUCAGUUUUUGUUUGACUGAUGGUAAGGCCAAAAUUAUGAGCUGCCACAGCAAAGCAGUUUGUAAGAUCUUGUAACGCCACUUCAGAGUGCGCUGUCAAGGCAUAAUCAUCAGCAUAGAAUAGUUCCUGGAUCGGUGCUUCUAUCACCUUGGUGUUCACAUGCAGAUGGGAAAACUUGAAAAACUUUCUAUUGUGGAGGCAUAUAAAGAGACCUUUGGAAGAUCCACAAAGGACCUCCUCUAGUGUCACAGGAAAGGAUAGACUAAAAAGGCUAAGAGCAAGGACACAUCCUAUCUUCACCCCAUUUUGAUUGGAAAUUGGUCUGCUAGAUCACCAUCAACACUAACUCUUCCAGCCAUGCCUUCAUGGAAUUGCCAAAUGACGUUAAUCAAUUUUGUCUGGAUAUCCAAAUUUAGCAAGAAUUUUUUGGAGGAUGGUGCAGUUGACCAAAUACUUUGGUUAGAUCAAGAAACACAAUGUACAAAGGUUGGUGCUGUUUGUGACAUUUUUCCUGUAAUUGUCAAAUGAUGAAAAUCAUAUAACAGUGUUCCACUGAACAUAAAGCUGCACUGUGACUUGGAUAGAACCUUGUCAAUGACUUGGGUCAGGAGUUGGGCCAGGAGGAUCUGUGAAAGAAUCUUGCUGGCUACAGAGAGCAAAGAAACACUACAGUCUUUAUUACUUUGAGACUUCUAGACAGUGGCAGUGGUAUCUUUCAGUAGUUGCUGUAUAAUUUCUUGAAUCCAGACAUAAGAAAAAAUCAAAAUCUUGUCAAUGAGAAGAUUUUCUCCAUGUUUUAAAACUUCAGCUGGAAUGACAUCAGGACCAGAAGGCUUACUAUUUUUCAUUACUUAAACAGCCUUCAAUACCUCAGUUCAUUUGGGUGGAUUGGCAAGUACAUAUGUGGGGAAUUUGCUGACAUAACCCAACAACUCAUCAGAAACAGUAGAUAAAUGACUAAGUAGCUCACUAAAAUGUUCAGGCCACUGUUGAUGGAUGGCAGUGUGAUCUGUGAUGAGAGAUUCACUAUUAGCACUUGUAAGCGAUGCCAAGAUAGAGAGGGCAGAGCCAUACAUGGCUUUGACCGCAUUGUAGAAACCUUGGGAGACAUGUUUAUUAGCAAGGGCCUAUAGUUAAUUUGCUUCACAGUCGAACCACAUAUUUUGCAUUUGGUGGAGUUUGUACUGGGGUGAACUGCAAACUGCCCUAUAGCUGGCCUUUUUCAACUCAGAAAGUGAGUCAUCUAAGAGUGCAGUAUGUGUUUGUUGAUUGGCAUCAAGAAGAUGCGGUAUUUCAGGAUUAUUAUUGUUGAACCAGUCUGCAAGAUCACAUUUUGUACAUGCAACACAAUCCACAACAAUUUUAUAGAUGUGUGUCACAUAAGGAUACCCAUUUGGCAGAUAAGUCAUCACUGAUUAUUGGAAGAAUUUCUAAAAUAGUAGUUAGCUAUGUUGAAAAUUGUUCAGCAAUUGACACAUCUUUCAGGCAGAGAAUAUUUACAUGCUUAACUGAUAGGCUUGUAUGCAUUUUCAGCCAAAUAAAAAGGGAAAGUUUUGAGCAAACAUAAUGGUGGUCAGUCCAAUAAUCAAUUCUGAAAAAUACCUACAUUAUGCAUACAUCUCAUAGGUCCCGCUCUCUGACCAACCACAUAGCUGAUCAGAUGCCAGUGUCAUGAGUGAGGGUACAUCCAGGUUAUUUUAUAUUUGUCAUGGAGUCAGAAGACAAUGUUUGUAAUAACACAAUGGUGCUGGACACGUGCUGUCAACAGAAGUAGGCCAUUGUUCAUCUUACCAUUUUUUUUGCCAAGUACAUUAUACCAUAUAGAAUCAUCAUGACCAACAUAAGCAUUAAAGUCACCAAAGUAAUCAAAAUCCUGUC